ACAAUUAACAGGAUCAUUAAGAAAGUCGAUCAGAGUCUUGGCUGCUGCUCAGAACAGAUUCAAAAAUUGCAAAUUAAACAACCUUUUCUUUAUGCAGCCUGACCUUUGCAACAACUGCUGAAAAUUAUUAUUUGUACCUUACAAAUGACAUAAUCAGGAUGGUGAGGUGGUUUGCCACUGUUUAAUAAUCUUUAAGCAGAUCAAAUUUUAGUGAUACCAAAGAAGGGAAAUCGGGGCCAGAGAUUUUCAAAGUAUGAUUCUGGACCAAGGGCUGAGCAUCCUCUGGAAUGGGAUACAAGAUGAGCAUUUGCAUCUUCGGGCUCAGUCUCUGAUGAUACACUUGGUACAGCUAACUGGACUGUACCAAGCCACGCCUGUGAUUGUGACUCACAAUACUGUUUGAGAACCAGGGUUUGGGCAAGAAAGUGAAUAAAGGAAGAGACUUGAAUUUUAAAAUCAACUAACCAACCAACCUUCCAUUUUUCUUCAGUACUAUUGCAAGCCAUUGGUGGAUUUAGAGUGAUGUAUUAAAAAAGACAGUCUGUAAAACUUCCAUGGAAAACCUGAACAACAGGAUGCUUAGAAGAGAAUGGGCAAAGCACAUUUGGUUUUUACUCAGGUGGCUAGAGGUGUGUGCAGCUACAGCAACCCUGAUCUCAAAUCUGAGAAUCAGGAUGAUGCCCUUGCAAAUGUUCAAGUCCUCUUACUCAACAGUGGCCAAACACUGGAGCUUCAAGUCUUCGUUUUUUAAUACUGAGCUUAAUAAAACUUAAUUUACUUUUCAUCCACUUUGUGGAACAAUAAAACUUUCAAUAAUACUA
Long non-coding RNA from Mastomys coucha (southern multimammate mouse), 821 nucleotides. RefSeq lists it as uncharacterized. The record is from RefSeq and is a predicted model, not a curated record. NCBI's taxonomy places the organism in Eukaryota, Metazoa, Chordata, Mammalia, Rodentia, Muridae. The transcript has 2 exons.